This 290-nucleotide ribosomal RNA is filed under the name uncultured bacterium. RNAcentral describes it as "partial 16S ribosomal RNA". The record is from RNAcentral.
UGGUAACCGUAGAGUUUGAUCAUGGCUCAGGAUAAGUCGUAACAAGGUAACCGUAAGUCGUAACAAGGAACCGUAGAGUUUGAUCAUGGCUCAGCUUGCUAAAAGGAGAAGUCGUAACAAGGUAACCGUAAAGUCGUAACAAGGUAACCGUAGAGUUUGAUCAUGGCUCAGCAUAUAAAGAAGUCGUAACAAGGUAACCGUAAGUCGUAACAAGGUAGCCGUAGAGUUUGAUCCUGGCUCAGCCUUUGACUUAAAAAAAUGGAGGAAGUCGUAACAAGGUAACCAAUCUG